Molecule: ribosomal RNA, 497 nt
Filed under: uncultured bacterium
Lineage: Bacteria
Description: partial 16S ribosomal RNA
Rfam family: Bacterial small subunit ribosomal RNA
Source: RNAcentral
GAUGAACGCUGGCGGCGUGCCUAAUACAUGCAAGUCGAGCGAACGGACGAGAAGCUUGCUUCUCUGAUGUUAGCGGCGGACGGGUGAGUAACACGUGGAUAACCUACCUAUAAGACUGGCAUAACUUCGGGAAACCGUAGCUAAUACCGGAUAAUAUUUUGAACCGCAUGGUUCAAAAGUGAAAGACGGUCUUGCUGUCACUUAUAGAUGGAUCCGCGCUGCAUUAGCUAGUUGGUAAGGUAACGGCUUACCAAGGCAACGAUGCAUAGCCGACCUGAGAGGGUGAUCGGCCACACUGGAACUGAGACACGGUCCAGACUCCUACGGGAGGCAGCAGUAGGGAAUCUUCCGCAAUGGGCGAAAGCCUGACGGAGCAACGCCGCGUGAGUGAUGAAGGUCUUCGGAUCGUAAAACUCUGUUAUUAGGGAAGAACAUAUGUGUAAGUAACUGUGCACAUCUUGACGGUACCUAAUCAGAAAGCCACGGCUAACUACGUG